UAUGCUCAUGGAGUUUGUCAAGUCCAGCAGGGAAUCAGUGAGGUUGGCUUGCAGGGAGCUGAGAUCCAUUAAAACUGUCUGCACAGUAAAAGUACUCUUUGUGGGCUCUUUAAUCCGAUUUCUGUACUCCACCUCGGCAAGUGGAGUAGCGCUUAAAUCGAGAUCGCAAUCCUGGGUUAAAGGUAUUGUGGACAUAAUUAGACGUUAUUGGCCUCCAGGAGCUAUCCCAGAAUGCUCCCUUGUGACCGCUCUGGACAACACUCUCAACUCCGAUGUACUAGCCAGGUGGGCAGGAAAAGCCCCAGGAACUUUUGAAUUUCAUUUCCUGUUUGGUCACCAUCAGCACAGGUGACCAUCAGCACAGUCCACCAUCACAGGCAACCAUGCAGAGUCCACCAUCACAGGAGAUCACGCAGUCCCGGAUUCACAGACGAGCUCCAGCAUGGUCCGAAUGGGAGGUACUGGAUCUCAUCGCAUGUUGGGGAGACGAGUCUGUUAUGGCAGAACUACGUUCCAAAAAAGGAAUGUAAAUAUGUACGCUAAAGACUCCAGGGCCAUGACGGAAAGAGGCUACUCCAGGGACACAGAGCAGUGUCAUACAAAAAUCAAGGAGCUCAGGUGCAAAUGUUUCAACGCGGACUCUAUCUACUCCGUCCCAGAGGCUGGUCCAGAUUAGAAGGCCGAAAAAACGAACUCGGGACGACAUGUUCACCGAGCUCAUGCAGUCCUCUCGCACUGAUAGGGCCCAACUGAAUGCAUGGAGGCAAACAAUUGCGGAGUCCCGUAAAGCAUUACAGGAACACAAAGAGAGGAAGAACGCGCGCGAUGAGAGUAGGCAGGACGCUAUGGUCGAGCUCAUGGGGGAGCAAACUGACAUGCUCUGCUGUAUGGUGGAUCUAAUGCGGGAAAGGCAGCAAGACCAUAGACUGCCGCUGCAGCCCCUAUAUAACCGCCCUCCCUCCUCCCCAAGUUCCAUAGCCUCCUCACCCAGAGGCCCAACAACACGAGGGGGAGGCUACAGCGACCCACACACUCAACCCCAGAGGAUCGCCCAAGCAGCCGAAAGCUGGCAUAUGCGAACUUUUGAUUUGGUUUC
Molecule: long non-coding RNA, 1096 nt
Organism: Trachemys scripta elegans
Lineage: Eukaryota; Metazoa; Chordata; Testudines; Emydidae
Exons: 3
Source: RefSeq, a predicted model, not a curated record